Molecule: ribosomal RNA, 739 nt
Filed under: uncultured bacterium
Lineage: Bacteria
Description: bacterial SSU rRNA
Rfam family: Bacterial small subunit ribosomal RNA
Source: RNAcentral
GCUAUAAUGCAGUCGAGCGAGCCGAACUAAUUGAUUACCUUCGGGUAUGAAGUUAGGGAAGCGAGCGGCGGAUGGGUGAGUAACACGUGGGUAACCUACCCUAUAGUCUGGGAUACCACUUGGAAACAGGUGCUAAUACCGGAUAAAAGGAGAGAUCACAUGAUUUCUUUUUGAAAGGCGGCGUAAGCUGUCGCUAAAGGAUGGACCCGCGGUGCAUUAGCUAGCUGGUAAGGUAACGGCUUACCAAGGCAACGAUGCAUAGCCGAGUUGAGAGACUGAUCGGCCACAUUGGGACUGAGACACGGCCCAAACUCCUACGGGAGGCAGCAGUAGGGAAUCUUCCACAAUGGACGCAAGUCUGAUGGAGCAACGCCGCGUGAGUGAAGAAGGUUUCCGGAUCGUAAAGCUCUGUUGUUGGUGAAGAAAGAUAGUGAGAGUAACUGCUCAUUAUUUGCCGGUAAUCAACCAGAAAGUCACGGCUAACUACGUGCCAGCAGCCGCGGUAAUGCGUAGGUGGCAAGCGUUGUCCGGAUUUAUUGGGCGUAAAGCGAGCGCAGGCGGAAAGAUAAGUCAGAUGUGAAAGCCCUCGGCUUAACCGAGGAAUAGCAUCGGAAACUGUCUUUCUUGAGUGCAGAAGAGGAGAGUGGAACUCCAUGUGUAGCGGUGGAAUGCGUAGAUAUAUGGAAGAACACCAGUGGCGAAGGCGGCUCUCUGGUCUGUAACUGACGCUGAGGCUCGA